GACGAACGCUGGCGGCGUGCUUAAUACAUGCAAGUCAACCGAAACAGCGGUAGCAAUAUCGCUUUGGAGGUGGCGCACGGGGGAGUAACACGUAGGUAAUCUGCCUCCAGGUUUGGCAUAACUCCGGGAAACCGGGGCCUAUAGCCGAUGAUGCAGCGGCUCGACAUCGAGACAGUUGUUAAAUCUAUGGCGUCUGAAGAUGAGCCUGCGUCUGAUUAGUUAGUUGGCGGGGUAACGGCCCACCAAGGCAACGAGCAGGAGCUGGUCUGAGAGGUUGAUCGAGCACGCGGGCACUGAGAGACGGUCCAAACUGCGACGGAAGGCAGCAGGAGGGAGUAGUGGGGAAUGGGAGAAAUCGUGAGGCAGCAUCGCGGCGUGAGGGCCGGAGGGCGUUGGCUUGUAAACCUCUGUAGUGAGAGAAAAAGAUCCCAAUCUUGGGGACGUGACGGUACCUGAAAAAUAAGCCCCGGCUAACUACGUG
Molecule: ribosomal RNA, 481 nt
Filed under: uncultured bacterium
Lineage: Bacteria
Description: partial 16S ribosomal RNA
Rfam family: Bacterial small subunit ribosomal RNA
Source: RNAcentral